CCUACGGGUGGCAGCAGUGGGGAAUAUUGGACAAUGGGGGAAACCCUGAUCCAGCGACGCCGCGUGAGUGAAGAAGUAUUUCGGUACGUAAAGCUCUAUUAGCAGGAAAGAAAAUGACGGUACCUGACUAAGAAGCCCCGGCUAACUACGUGCCAGCAGCCGCGGUAAUACGUAGGGGGCAAGCGUUAUCCGGAUUUACUGGGUGUAAAGGGAGCGUAGGCGGGAGCGCAAGUCUGGGGUGAAAUGCCGGGGCUCAACCCCGGAACUGCUCUGGAAACUGUGAAGCUGGAGUGCAGGAGAGGUAAGCGGAAUGCCUGGUGUAGCGGUGAAAUGUGUAGAUAUCAGGAGGAACACCGGCGGCGAAGGCGGCUUACUGGACUGUAACUGACGUUGAGGCUCGAAGGCGUGGGGAGCAAACAGGAUUAGAUACCCUGGUAGUC
Molecule: ribosomal RNA, 440 nt
Filed under: uncultured bacterium
Lineage: Bacteria
Description: partial 16S ribosomal RNA
Rfam family: Bacterial small subunit ribosomal RNA
Source: RNAcentral